GACGAACGCUGGCGGCGUGCUUAACACAUGCAAGUCGAGCGGUAAGGCCCUUUCGGGGGUACGACGAGCGGCGAACGGGUAGAGUAACAACGUGGGUGGACCUCGCCCUCCAGCUCUGGGAGUAAAGCCGUCGGGAAACCGGGGUACCGUAAUAACUGGGAUAUGACUCCAUGACGCAUGUUGUGGGGUGGAAAGCCUUGUGCGGCUGAGGAUGGGCCC
Molecule: ribosomal RNA, 219 nt
Filed under: uncultured bacterium
Lineage: Bacteria
Description: partial 16S ribosomal RNA
Rfam family: Bacterial small subunit ribosomal RNA
Source: RNAcentral